This 253-nucleotide ribosomal RNA is filed under the name uncultured bacterium. Its description in RNAcentral is "partial 16S ribosomal RNA". It matches the Rfam family "Bacterial small subunit ribosomal RNA", at positions 524 to 776 of the family's 1533-position model. The record is from RNAcentral.
UACGUAGGGCGCAAGCGUUGUCCGGAAUUAUUGGGCGUAAAGAGCUCGUAGGCGGCUUGUCACGUCGGGUGUGAAAGCCCGGGGCUUAACCCCGGGUCUGCAUUCGAUACGGGCAGGCUAGAGUGUGGUAGGGGAGAUCGGAAUUCCUGGUGUAGCGGUGAAAUGCGCAGAUAUCUGGAGGAACACCGGUGGCGAAGGCGGCAUCCUGGACCAAUUCUGACGCUGAGGAGCGAAAGCCAGGGGAGCAAACGGG